AUCCAACUGACGAGUCCUAAAUAGGACGAGAUGUGUGUCCUGGAC
This 45-nucleotide non-coding RNA is filed under the name Schistosoma mansoni. Lineage: Eukaryota; Metazoa; Platyhelminthes; Trematoda; Strigeidida; Schistosomatidae. The record is from RNAcentral.